UCGGUGCUUGGGCUCUCGCUUUGCGACCCCUCACCCCAACCCUCUGUUUACCUACCAUAUUCUUCGGCGAGUGCGUGCUGUUUGUUGGUGGGAGGUACCCCUUUAUGUGGUGCCAACCCCUGCAAACGGUGCCCCGCCGGCGUUCAAAAACCUGCCUUUUUAACGGUGAAGUCUGAGCGUUUGCAAAACAAAAUUAUAA
Molecule: unclassified non-coding RNA, 199 nt
Filed under: uncultured fungus
Lineage: Eukaryota; Fungi
Description: sequence contains ITS1
Source: RNAcentral